CUAUACUUUGUCCCUAUAAAUUUCAUACAUUAUCCAGUGACGCUAGAGUUGUCUGAUGCCUGUAAGUCCUUAGCUGAACUUUCUUGUACAAUAUUGCAUUAUCACUACUUCAUAACCCUAUGUCAUCUCAGGAGAAAUCAUGUGUUACACUUAAGGGCAAUCCUUAUUUUUGUCUACAGAACACACAAAUAUGGACAUAUUUAUUUUCAUCCAAAUAAAUCAUUGACAAAAAUAUUAAACAAAUCAUCAGAUACACAAUGUAUGUAGAAAAAAAAAAAAAAAAAAAAAAAAAGAGAUAGUUUAAAUAUUGAGAAAACUUUAUUCUUUGUCUCCUCAGACAUGAAGGGUCAUAUUAAAAAGAGUUUACAGUUCAGCCUGUCAUGUCUUUUGGGGAGGAAAAAAAAAAAAAAAGAACAACAAC
Oxyura jamaicensis (ruddy duck) is the source of this 421-nucleotide long non-coding RNA. RefSeq lists it as uncharacterized. The record is from RefSeq and is a predicted model, not a curated record. NCBI's taxonomy places the organism in Eukaryota, Metazoa, Chordata, Aves, Anseriformes, Anatidae. The transcript has 2 exons.